Molecule: long non-coding RNA, 362 nt
Organism: Manduca sexta (tobacco hornworm)
Lineage: Eukaryota; Metazoa; Arthropoda; Insecta; Lepidoptera; Sphingidae
Exons: 2
Source: RefSeq, a predicted model, not a curated record
AAUAUUGUAAUAUUGAUGUGAAUUAUUGCCACAUUUCUUAAUUCUUAUUGACAGUUGACACUUCAUUGACAACUGACAAGUCGUGUCAACUAUCACACGAAGUGAAGUUCUCAAUCAAAUUACGGAAAUUGUAUAUUUAUUUUCUUUUAUAAAGUUAGAAAUCAGCCAAUACUACCUCGUUUUAUGUGGUAAAUUAGCUAUAAUUAUUGAAAAGAAUGACUACCUCAACUCCUGAUGGUGCAGAUAAUUACGAUCAGUUUGAUGACGACGAUACUGAACAGCAACUGGGUGCAACAGCAUCUGGUCGGAAAAGGCUAUUUAGUAAGGAAUUACGAUGUAUGAUGUACGGUUUUGGAGAUGAU